CCGCAGGUUCGGGUCGAACGCAGUGAGACAACGGAGCCGUUUACGGCGACGGCCCGUAGGGCGAGCGAAGCGAGUCAUCCUGCACGACCCACCA
This 94-nucleotide small RNA is filed under the name Salmonella enterica subsp. enterica serovar Kentucky. RNAcentral's name for it is "partial RtT sRNA". It matches the Rfam family "RtT RNA", at positions 36 to 130 of the family's 130-position model. Rfam says of the family: This family represents a bacterial cis-regulatory element known as RtT RNA. RNAcentral also lists the same sequence under 1 other name. The record is from RNAcentral. Lineage: Bacteria; Pseudomonadati; Pseudomonadota; Gammaproteobacteria; Enterobacterales; Enterobacteriaceae.